RNAcentral lists this ribosomal RNA (234 nucleotides) under uncultured bacterium. RNAcentral's name for it is "partial 16S ribosomal RNA". It matches the Rfam family "Bacterial small subunit ribosomal RNA", at positions 118 to 347 of the family's 1533-position model. The record is from RNAcentral.
UGAGGAACAUGACUUUCGGUGGGGGAUAGCCGGCCCAACGGCCGGGUAAUACCGCGUACGACCUUUUGGGGACAUCCCCGAGGGGUGAAAGCAGCAAUGCGCCGAAAGAGUGCCUCGCGGCCUAUCAGCUAGUUGGUGGGGUAAUGGCUCACCAAGGCGACGACGGGUAGCUGGUCUGAGAGGAUGGCCAGCCACAUUGGGACUGAGACACGGCCCAGACUCCUACGGGAGCAG